AGACAGCCCGGCGAACCGCGCAAUGCGCUUCUUCUGCCUGCAGCAGAGAAAAGGAAAGAAAACUCCGCAGGGGCUCCGUUGGCUUCUCCACGAGUGACAACCAUGUUUUCCCAGAUAGAAGACCGGAGCCCUGCUCCUUUGCGAUCCGCCGAGGGCUGCAGAGAGCAUCCUCAUCCAUUUGGGCACCCCUGCCCAGGAAGAGCCCGGCCAUCCCUUUCCGGACUGGAUCCUUAAGAGGUGAAUUUUCUUCCGUGGAUUCCGAUUUGCUCCGUCUGACCAGCCUAGGCAAUCCAGCAUCGCGUGGUACCAGUGCCGCUGGGCACACUGGCUUCACGCCGGCUCCGCCUCACCAGCAAGCGCAUUCCCAGGUGGUCAGGCUCAGGAUGGACCAUGAGCUUUCAAAAAGGAAAAAGCUUUUUCUGGAGGAAAUUCGCAUUUGAAUUGAUGGACUGAAUAAAGCAGAUUGCAGUCCCCAGUGUGGAUGGGCUUGAUCCAGUCUUCUAAGGACCCAAAUAAAAUAGGUGGAGGAAGCUUGAAUUUUCUGCCUGACUGUGGCGCUGGGACACCCAUCUUCUCCUGCCCUUGAACUGGGACUGACACCAUCAGUGCUCCUGGUUCUCAGACCUUCGGACAGCAGACUUGGGGCCUUCUCGGCCUCCAUUAUUGUAGGAGAAAAUGAGACACUGAGUGGGACUCAGGGAUUGCUCCAGGCCACACAGUCAGCAGGAGGCAAAGCCCAGAUUCAAAUGCAGAUUACUCAGCUCCACAAUCCACAUCCUCACAGGAGGCUGCACUCCUUGCCCAAGCGUCAGACAGGAGCAAAGAGAAAGAAGGCAACCAGCUGGCUACUUUCUUCCCUUCUUGGAUGCCUCCAACAGGAUAAAACACUAACUCAGAGAAGAAAUUUAACUGCAAAUUUGGUUAAUGACCAUGGAUUCCUAAUGAGAAGAAAAGCUAGACACUGAGAGUUUAGAAUAAACUCAAGAAUCUUAAAAAUUUUCCCAUGGAACUGCCUUUGCACCUCUAUAAAAAA
This 1033-nucleotide long non-coding RNA is filed under the name Homo sapiens (human). Its description in RNAcentral is "DPPA2 upstream binding RNA". The record is from RNAcentral. Lineage: Eukaryota; Metazoa; Chordata; Mammalia; Primates; Hominidae.